Molecule: unclassified non-coding RNA, 240 nt
Filed under: soil metagenome
Description: partial contains 5.8S ribosomal RNA, internal transcribed spacer 2, and large subunit ribosomal RNA
Source: RNAcentral
AACCUUAUGGACCUGCGGGCGUAUACCUGCGGAGGGAUCAUUAUCGAGUUCUGCUCCCCGGAGCGUCCUCCCAACCCUUUGUUUACUUGACCACUUGUUGCUUCGGCGGACCGGUCUUUAGCUGACCGCCGGCACUUUGCAAAGAGGUGCUGGACAGUUGUCCGUCGAUGGCUCAAAUCAAAAACAUAUUCUUGUACCGAAACGUGUCGUCUAAAAAAAUUCUUGAUGUACAAUCAAAAA